CCAAGUCCCCUUUGUCAACUUCUGACCCGCGCGCCAGCCUCACCCGUGGUCCUGCCACCCUGGCCAGGGGCCCUCGUGGCCCUCAGCACCCUGCGGGCCCCGGGCAAAGCCCGCGGGCAGGGCGCGCGGGGCCGCGGGGGUCUGCGGAGCCUUCCGGGAGGCCCGACGCGGAGGCGGUGCAGCGGCCGCUGCGUCCCCGGGCUCGGCCGCACGCCGCGGGUCCCGCCGCCGCCGCCGCCCGCGCUCGGCACCCAUGGACUCCUCGCCAGGGAGAAAAGUUUGGAGGCGCCCUCAUCUCUGCCUCCAGGGGGUCGGGCUGGCCAGGAUUUGUCCUGUGCUGGAUGCCGAUCUGCGGUCUGCGUGUGCUCUUUCCCCAUCUCUGUCAUUUUCCUCGGACGCACAUCCAUCGACUGCGCCGGUCCCCGGGCACCGCCAGCGUCUCCCGGAGAGCAACAACAGCACCAGGAGAUCGAUGGCCACCUCUGUGUGAGCCUGAGUAGCACUGAGGGCUCGCCUGUCGCCCUGCCACCUCACACUUUGUGGCUGAUGUCUAAAAGGCGGUUAGGAAGCAAACACUGUUUCCUGAUGCACGCAACGCAUUACCAGUUGCAAUACAUUCACGUAGGAAAAGCAGCGCGUCCUCUCUCCCCUUCCCACCCUUGCGAGAGGUGUUUGUUGGGGGUGGUGGAUUGCUAAUACCUGGGAUGUGGCACUUGUCUGGGCCGGAAACUUUCCGGGCAGCCUGACGAUCGAUUAUUUGCUACCUGUGUUCUAAAAAUGGCUAAACACCUUUUGCUGGAACAAAAGUGAGAAAUGCAAAUCUUAAUAACUCAAGGCAAAAAUUUCAAAUGUGUAAGCACAGUUAUUACCCACUCCCACAAAGAAAAGCUUCAUCCUCCACACAUUUUUGGUAGCACAGAGCCUGGUAAUUACGAGAACGAUCAAAUAAGCUCAGAGCUUUCAUGGAAACUCCAAAUUCACAUCCGCCCCAAAUUUAUAAGCAGGGUGAGCAUUUGCUGUUUGACAUCCAUAGAUACAGCUGCGGAUAUGAAGAUCUAAAUGUGAGGGAAGAAAGCGUGUGUGUGUGUGUGUGUGAGAGAGAGAGAGAGAGAGAGAGAGAGAGAGAGAACUUUGCUACAUGUGACUUUUCCUUUCCUCACAUUCUUCUUUCAUGCUUCAAGUUGAACCACUUAAAUAUAUGGCAUAAGAAUUCAUGGAGAAUUGAAUUCCACCGUGAAUUUAAGUGUGACUUUCAUUCCAAAGAAUUCCCAGCAUAUAUUGAAUGAUUAAUGCUCGUAAUAGGUAGUUGCUUUUCAACAUUAGCUUUUUGUAUGUUAGGUUCUGUUCCUUAAAUGAUGGACAAGAGAGAAAUUAGGUCCAACUAUUCAAAAAAUUGGGGGGUGGGGUGGGGAUCAACACUGUGACAUAGCCAGUAAAGCCUCCGCCUACAGUGCCAGCAUCCUAUAUGGAGGCUGCUUGGAGACCCGCUUGCUCCACUUCCGAUCCAGCUCUCUGCUAUGGCCUGGGAAAGCAGUAGAAGAUACCCUGAGUACUUCGGUCCCUACACCCUCCUGGGAGUCCCAGAGGAAGCUCCUGGCUCCUGGCUUCGGAUUGGCACAGCUCCUGCCAGCCAUUGUGGCCAUUUGGGGAGUGAGCCAGUGGAUGGAAGCUCUGUCUCUCUCUGCCUCUGCCUCUCUGUAAGUCUGCCUUUCAAAUAAAUAAAUAAAUAUUUAAAAAAUUUCCCCUCA
RNAcentral lists this long non-coding RNA (1748 nucleotides) under Oryctolagus cuniculus (rabbit). RNAcentral's name for it is "lncRNA (ENSOCUG00000030655.1)". The record is from RNAcentral. Lineage: Eukaryota; Metazoa; Chordata; Mammalia; Lagomorpha; Leporidae.